This 497-nucleotide ribosomal RNA is filed under the name uncultured bacterium. RNAcentral's name for it is "partial 16S ribosomal RNA". It matches the Rfam family "Bacterial small subunit ribosomal RNA", at positions 28 to 507 of the family's 1533-position model. The record is from RNAcentral.
GACGAACGCUGGCGGCGUGCCUAAUACAUGCAAGUAGAACGCUGAAACUUGGUGCUUGCACCGAGCGGAUGAGUUGCGAACGGGUGAGUAACGCGUAGGUAACCUGCCUGGUAGCGGGGGAUAACUAUUGGAAACGAUAGCUAAUACCGCAUAAGAGUAGAUGUUGCAUGACAUUUGCUUAAAAGGUGCAAUUGCACCACUACCAGAUGGACCUGCGUUGUAUUAGCUAGUUGGUGGGGUAACGGCUCACCAAGGCGACGAUACAUAGCCGACCUGAGAGGGUGAUCGGCCACACUGGGACUGAGACACGGCCCAGACUCCUACGGGAGGCAGCAGUAGGGAAUCUUCGGCAAUGGACGGAAGUCUGACCGAGCAACGCCGCGGGAGUGAAGAAGGUUGUCGGAUCGUAAAGCUCUGUUGUAAGAGAAGAACGAGUGUGAGAGUGGAAAGUUCACACUGUGACGGUAUCUUACCAGAAAGGGACGGCUAACUACGUG